CACUCCUACGGGAGGCAGCAGUGGGGAAUAUUGCACAAUGGGCGCAAGCCUGAUGCAGCCAUGCCGCGUGUAUGAAGAAGGCCUUCGGGUUGUAAAGUACUUUCAGCGGGGAGGAAGGCAAUACGGUUAAUAACCGUGUUGAUUGACGUUACCCGCAGAAGAAGCACCGGCUAACUCCGUGCCAGCAGCCGCGGUAAUACGGAGGGUGCAAGCGUUAAUCGGAAUUACUGGGCGUAAAGCGCACGCAGGCGGUCUGUCAAGUCGGAUGUGAAAUCCCCGGGCUCAACCUGGGAACUGCAUUCGAAACUGGCAGGCUUGAGUCUUGUAGAGGGGGGUAGAAUUCCAGGUGUAGCGGUGAAAUGCGUAGAGAUCUGGAGGAAUACCGGUGGCGAAGGCGGCCCCCUGGACAAAGACUGACGCUCAGGUGCGAAAGCGUGGGGAGCAAACAGGAUUAGAAACCCCGGUAGUCCCA
RNAcentral lists this ribosomal RNA (472 nucleotides) under uncultured organism. Its description in RNAcentral is "partial 16S ribosomal RNA". It matches the Rfam family "Bacterial small subunit ribosomal RNA", at positions 334 to 797 of the family's 1533-position model. The record is from RNAcentral.